RNAcentral lists this ribosomal RNA (352 nucleotides) under uncultured soil bacterium. RNAcentral's name for it is "bacterial SSU rRNA". It matches the Rfam family "Bacterial small subunit ribosomal RNA", at positions 512 to 863 of the family's 1533-position model. The record is from RNAcentral.
CAGCCGCGGUAAUACGAAGGGGGCGAGCGUUGUUCGGAUUUACUGGGCGUAAAGGGCGCGUAGGCGGCCCUUCUUGUCGCGUGUGAAAGCCCCGGGCUCAACCUGGGAAUGGCGCGCGAGACGGGGGGGCUGGAGUUCGGGAGAGGAGCGUGGAAUUCCCAGUGUAGAGGUGAAAUUCGUAGAUAUUGGGAAGAACACCGGUGGCGAAGGCGGCGCUCUGGACCGAGACUGACGCUGAGGCGCGAAAGCGUGGGGAGCAAACAGGAUUAGAUACCCUGGUAGUCCACGCCGUAAACGAUGUGUGCUAGACGUUGGGGAGCCUAGCUCUUCGGUGUCGCCGCAAACGCUUUAA